This 286-nucleotide unclassified non-coding RNA is filed under the name uncultured Bordetella sp. RNAcentral describes it as "partial 16S-23S ribosomal RNA intergenic spacer". It matches the Rfam family "Bacterial small subunit ribosomal RNA", at positions 10 to 300 of the family's 1533-position model. The record is from RNAcentral. Lineage: Bacteria; Pseudomonadati; Pseudomonadota; Betaproteobacteria; Burkholderiales; Alcaligenaceae.
GGUUUGAUUAUGGCUCAGAUUGAACGCUGGCGGGAUGCUUUACACAUGCAAGUCGAACGGCAGCACGGACUUCGGUCUGGUGGCGAGUGGCGAACGGGUGAGUAAUGUAUCAGACGUGCCUAGUAGCGGGGGAUAACUACGCGAAAGCGUAGCUAAUACCACAUACGCCCUUCGGGGAAAGCGGGGGACCUUCCGGGCCUCGCACUAUUAGAGCGGCGAUAUCGGAUUAGCUAGUUGGUGGGGUAACGGCUCACCAAGGCGACGAUCCGUAGCUGGUUUGAGAGGA